Molecule: non-coding RNA, 28 nt
Filed under: Homo sapiens (human)
Lineage: Eukaryota; Metazoa; Chordata; Mammalia; Primates; Hominidae
Source: RNAcentral
UCUCAGCCACAAUUCUGGAAUAACAGGA